RNAcentral lists this ribosomal RNA (547 nucleotides) under uncultured bacterium. Its description in RNAcentral is "partial 16S ribosomal RNA". The record is from RNAcentral.
UGGGGGCAUCUGAGCAGCGACGCCGCGUGAGUGAGAAGGCCUUCGGAUCGUAACUUCUGUUAUCGGGGACGAAAAAAAUGGUGGUCCCUUUGGAGGAUGUUUGAGGUACCCCUUUGCCAACCCCCGGGUUAAUUCGUGGCCGGCAGCCGUGGUAAGAAUUUGGGGGCAGUGGUUGUCGGAAUUGUGGGUUUGUAAGGGGGGGGAAGGCGGUUUGUGUUUAAUUUUGUUAAUUCCCCGGAUUAAGCGGUGCUUGGGUAUUGGAAAGGAUGGGAUUUUUCCUAGGGAGGGGAGAAAGGGAUUCAUGUGGAGGAGGAAAACCGGGGAAAAAGGGGAUUUACGGGACAGGACUAGGGCUUCUUUCCGAAAGGUGGGGGAAGCAAAGGGGUUAAAUUCCCCGGGAACCCCAGGCCUAAAACAAGGAUUAUACGGGGGGGGGGGUGAUGUCUUCCUUGCGGCCGGGAAUAUCAUACUUACUAUGCCUCCUGUGUAGCAUCGCCAGAACCUUAAACCUAAGACGUGUUGACGGUCCCCCUCAGAGGAUUUGACG